RNAcentral lists this ribosomal RNA (254 nucleotides) under uncultured bacterium. RNAcentral describes it as "partial 16S ribosomal RNA". It matches the Rfam family "Bacterial small subunit ribosomal RNA", at positions 524 to 776 of the family's 1533-position model. The record is from RNAcentral.
UACGGGGGGAGCAAGCGUUGUUUGGAUUUACUGGGCGUAAAGGGCGCGUAGGCGGUCAGCACAAGUCAGUUGUGAAAUCUCCGGGCUUAACUCGGAAAGGUCAACUGAUACUGUGCGACUAGAGUGCGGAAGGGGCAACUGGAAUUCUCGGUGUAGCGGUGAAAUGCGUAGAUAUCGAGAGGAACACCUGAGGCGAAGGCGGGCUACUGGGCCGAUACUGACGCUGAGGCGCGAAAGCCAGGGGAGCAAACGGG